Long non-coding RNA from Cheilinus undulatus (humphead wrasse), 530 nucleotides. RefSeq lists it as uncharacterized. NCBI's taxonomy places the organism in Eukaryota, Metazoa, Chordata, Actinopteri, Labriformes, Labridae. The record is from RefSeq and is a predicted model, not a curated record. The transcript is spliced from 6 exons.
UAACUUCACCAUGGCAUGUCGAGGACAUAGUGAACUACUCUUGUCAUGUUGUGGAGAAGUGCUGACCUAUCUGCAUUACAUGGAGCCUUGGACCUCCAUCUUGUUGCUGUGAUGAGCAUGAUUGCCUUGCAGUUGGACAAAGACCUGGGCUGAGAGGGGGAGCAGACUGUCUCUACUAUUGUGGAUGGACAUCAUUGUUGCAUGUCAAGGACAUAGUGAACCAGAUUGUCAUGUUGCAGAGAUGUGAUGACUAAUCUGCAUUUCAUGGACCUUUGGACCUCCUCCAUGUUGCUGGGAUGAGCAUAGCUGCCUUGCAAGGACCAGGACCAAUUACACCCUCACUAACACACGGGGGCUAAAGAUGUCCAGGUACCUGAACUUCAGGAUGGACAUCAUUGUGGCAUGUCAAGAGCAUAGUGAAUCACUUGUCUUGUUGCAGAGAAGUGAUGACCCAUCUGCAAUCCAAGAGUUAAGACCAUUGACACAGAGAGGGAGACUGCCCUUUUAAACCUGUGAACACAUGAAUGAGG